Molecule: long non-coding RNA, 613 nt
Filed under: Homo sapiens (human)
Lineage: Eukaryota; Metazoa; Chordata; Mammalia; Primates; Hominidae
Description: HSALNT0406243
Source: RNAcentral
GGGAGAGAGAGAAAUAUUUUCAUCUAACAGUUGACACCAGAAUCCCUGGUAGGGAAAAUACCACUAUGAGAUGCUGGGAGACAGGAGAGAGUAUGAGGAAGUCUCCGGCCACGUGCAAAACCGUGGCUGACAGAAACUCCCCAGGAUGGGGAAGCUGAAAGCCCUUUGAGAACCAUCACAUUCCACUUGGAACUGUUGGCACUGCCCCACAGGGACAUUUCCUUGGCCUCGCUGCCACCCGCCCCAUCCUCAGCAGACAAGGCUGUAUCCUGGGCGUCCUCUGUGUGGUGUUCUGUGGCGUUAUUAGGGAGGAAGUGGUAAGAGCUGUUUGGUCAGAUGAAGGAGCUUUCUUCAUUCUUCGCCAACUUGUGCCGUCACUACCCCUUGUCCCAGAAUGAGGAUCCAUGCCAAGGAGGGGAACAGGGCAUGGGGGGCACCUGACAUUCGUAUGCCUUCCAGGAGCCCUGCACGUGUCAUCUCUUUUCAGCUUCAGAGAAAUUCCAUGAGGGAAACAUGGCAAAUGCCUACAAGACCUGCAUCAAGCCAUUCCUGCACCUGGAGACACAGGAAAUGGAAAAGGCCCACACGAGGUGAUGUCCCUGGACAGAGCACC